Long non-coding RNA from Myotis brandtii (Brandt's bat), 1810 nucleotides. RefSeq lists it as uncharacterized. The transcript has 4 exons. The record is from RefSeq and is a predicted model, not a curated record. NCBI's taxonomy places the organism in Eukaryota, Metazoa, Chordata, Mammalia, Chiroptera, Vespertilionidae.
CGCGAAUGGCUGGGGCUAAAAUCGCCUGGGAGGCUGCUUCAUUCACGUGGCUGGUACCUGAGCCAGAAGGACUUGAAGGCCCAGCGGGCAUGAUCACCUGGAGCAUCUACACGUGGCCGGUCCGUGUGACUUGGCUUCUCACAGCACAGCAGCCUGGCUCUGAGAGGGCGUGUCUCAGGAGAAAGUGAGCUUUCCAGGAGACCAAGGAAGAAGUUGCAAGGUUCCUCUUGGCCUCACCCCAGAAGUCACGGGGAGUCACGGGGAGUAACUUCUGCUGCAUUCUGUUGUUACAGGAACCUCUGAUUGGAGGCCCUCGGAGCUCCCGGGGUCUGUGGACGGGCGCUGGGUCUUGGAGUGAUUUCCGGCCCCAGUGAACAGGUCCUGCCGAUGUCCGAUGUCUGGCCUGUCUGCCCCCUGUGUUCCUGCCCACCGCUACCUUCCAGAUGGGCCAGCUCCCAGCACCUACUGCCUGCCAGGCACUGCGCUCACGUUGGGGACCCAGAAAUAAAUGAGAGACAGCCGCUGUCCAGUGGAAGGAGAAACGUGAAGAGUUAACCGCCACCCAGGAGAGGGUUCCUGAGUCAAGGGCACAUCAAAUGAGGAUAGCUUGUUCUGGAAGAGGCCAUGUGUUGAGCAUCGCUAUGGAGAAAUACGCUCGGCAAGGAACCGAAGCCUCCUGCCAACAGCUAUGUGCGUGAACUCACAGACAGAAAACUGAGACCCAGAACACGGAGGCAACUGCCAGGAUCAUAGAGCCACCAGGGUGUGGCAGCUUUCGAUUCAAAUCCAGGUCUAAUUCCCAAAGGGAGAGGCAGGCAAGCAGCACACCCAGGCCAGAGAAUACUUCUCUCAUCUCUUCCCUCUGAGAACAAGCCACACCUUCUGCCAUCAGGGAACAGGCCACAGUCUCCACCCAGACUCCCCGGGGUGAUGAUAGAAAGAGACUGGAGGGUGAUGUCCACGCCACCAGGAGUGUCAGAGGUCGUGGGAACUGAGACCCAGAGACUCAGUUCCAAGGACUUUUCCAAGGACUCCCAUCUAGUGCUCCUGCCUCUCAAGGACAGCUUUGGGGUAGGAGACAGAGAGAAAAAGGGAAGUCAAAGGUAAGGACGACAAAAUUGAGAUCUCAUCAUUUGGGUCAACCCCACAAUGGGUAGGAUCUACAUAAACCAGUGUCACAGGUGGUCCCAGUGGGAGCCUCUGCAGCCUCAGGGGCCUCACAGAAAAGCUCUGAGAGCAGUGCCUGGCCUGUGGCAGGGCCUGAUGAAAAGCCCUGCACCAUUCAUUUGCUGUGACCUUGGGUUGCCCCAUUCAUUCAUUCAUUCAUUCAUUCAAUAAGUAUUUACUGACCAUCUGCUAUGUGCUGUUUUAGGAGCUUGGGAUAUUUCAGCGAACACAAGAUCCUUGUCCUUAUGAAGCUUAAAAUACAGAGGUUUCCUAUAUCAGUUCUAAAGUAUCCUACAAGUGAAAGGUGCUGUAAGAGAGGAAAAAGUAAAGGGGGGUAAGAGGACCAAGAGUGAGGACAAUGUGUAUGGAGCGGGUGGGAUGAAAUUGUAAAGGGUUUUAGCUAUCUCAGGUAGGCCUCCUUGAGACUGCCUCCUUUGAAGAAAGACUUGAAGGAGGCGAGGGGUGCCAUAUAAAGAGUGAACCAUAUGGAAAUCUGGAGGGAAGACAUUCAGGUAAAUUACACAUUGAUUAUAUAUUAGGAGUGAAGGGGAAUUAUGUCUGCGACUUACUCUAACAGUUCAGAAAAAAUAAAUUAUAUAGAUAUAGAGCGACAGUAUGUACAUGUAUAUAGACAUGUAAAUAU